RNAcentral lists this ribosomal RNA (151 nucleotides) under uncultured Roseobacter sp. Its description in RNAcentral is "partial 16S ribosomal RNA". It matches the Rfam family "Bacterial small subunit ribosomal RNA", at positions 357 to 525 of the family's 1533-position model. The record is from RNAcentral. Lineage: Bacteria; Pseudomonadati; Pseudomonadota; Alphaproteobacteria; Rhodobacterales; Roseobacteraceae.
UGGGAUCUUGCACAAUGGGGGCAACCCUGAUCUAGCCAUGCCGCGUGAGUGAUGAAGGCCUUAGGGUCGUAAAGCUCUUUCGCCUGUGAUGAUAAUGACAGUACCAGGUAAAGAAACCCCGGCUAACUCCGUGCCAGCAGCCGCGGUAAUA